Molecule: ribosomal RNA, 301 nt
Filed under: uncultured bacterium
Lineage: Bacteria
Description: partial 16S ribosomal RNA
Rfam family: Bacterial small subunit ribosomal RNA
Source: RNAcentral
CAGCCGCCGCGGUAAAACGGAGGGUGCAAGCGUUAAUCGGAAUUACUGGGCGUAAAGCGCACGCAGGCGGUCUGACAAGUCAGAUGUGAAAUCCCCGGGCUUAACCUGGGAACUGCAUUUGAAACUGUCAGGCUGGAGUCUUGUAGAGGGGGGUGGAAUUCCAGGUGUAGCGGUGAAAUACGUAGAGAUCUGGAGGAAUACCGGUGGCGAAGGCGGCCCCCUGGACAAAGACUGACGCUCAGGUGCGAAAGCGUGGGGAGCAAACAGGAUUAGAUACCCCUGUAGUCCCUGUCUCUUAUAC